UACGUAGGGUGCGAGCGUUAAUCGGAAUUACUGGGCGUAAAGCGUGCGUAGGCGGUUCGUUAAGUGCGUCGUGAAAGCCCCGGGCUCAACCUGGGAACUGCAUUUGUGACUGCAAGGCUGGAGUACGGCAGAGGGGGAUGGAAUUCCGCGUGUAGCAGUGAAAUGCGUAGAUAUGCGGAGGAACACCGAUGGCGAAGGCAAUCCCCUGGGCCUGUACUGACGCUCAUGCACGAAAGCGUGGGGAGCAAACAGG
RNAcentral lists this ribosomal RNA (253 nucleotides) under uncultured bacterium. RNAcentral's name for it is "partial 16S ribosomal RNA". It matches the Rfam family "Bacterial small subunit ribosomal RNA", at positions 524 to 776 of the family's 1533-position model. The record is from RNAcentral.